AUGCCUGUGAAAUCCAUUGCCUUGAGAUCUCACCUUGGGAGGCAGCUUGUUCUGCUGCCACACCUGAGAAAAGAUAUUUCAAAACUGCAAGAUUGGCUGUGCCUCGCCUUCCUCCAUGAUUUCCCCUCAGGGCUGCCCCUCAUUCUCUUUCAUGAUCUCCCUUUAGGGCUGCCCCUCCUUUUCCUCCAUGAUUUCCCUUCAUGGCUGCCCCUCACCUCCUCCAUGUUCUCCCCUCAUCUUCCUCCAUGUUCUCCCCUCAUCUUCCUCCAUGAUCUCCCCUCAUGGACACCCCUCAUGUUCUUCCAUGAUCUCCCCUCAUGGCUGCCCCUCAUCUUCCUCCAUGAUUUCCCCACAUGGACACGCCUCCUCUCCUCCAUGUUCUCUCCUCAUGGACACUCCUCACCUCCUCCAUGUUCUCCCCUCACGGACACCCCUCAUCUCCUCCAUGUUCUCCCCUCAUGGACACCCCUCAUCUUCCUCCAUGAUCUCCCCUCAUGGACACCCCUCCUCUUCCUCCAUGAUCUCCCCUCAUGGCCACCCCUCCUCUUCCUCCAUGAUCUCCCCUCAUGGACACCCCUCAUCUUCCUCCAUGAUCUCCCCUCAUGGACACCCCUCCUCUUCCUCCAUGAUCUCCCCUCAUGGCCACCCCUCCUCUUCCUCCAUGAUCUCCCCUCAUGGACACCCCUCAUCUUCCUCCACGAUCUCCCCUCAUGGACACCCCUCAUCUUCCUCCAUGAUCUCCCCUCAUGGACACCCCUCCUCUUCCUCCAUGAUCUCCCCUCAUGGCCACCCCUCACAUCCUAUAGCUGCCUCUCAUCUUCCUCCAUGUUUUCCCCUCAUCAUCCUCCAUGAUCUCCCCCCAUGGCUGCCCCUCAUCUUCCUCCAUGGUCUCCCCCAUGACCUCCCCUCACAAACGCGGCCAUUCCCCAUCUCCCCCGGAUCUCUCCCAUUCCAUCUCCCUCUUCCGGGGGGGGGGGGGGGGGGGGGGGGGGGGGGGGGGGGGGGGGGGGGGGGG
RNAcentral lists this long non-coding RNA (1015 nucleotides) under Ficedula albicollis (Collared flycatcher). RNAcentral's name for it is "lncRNA (ENSFALG00000017831.2)". Lineage: Eukaryota; Metazoa; Chordata; Aves; Passeriformes; Muscicapidae. The record is from RNAcentral.